Molecule: long non-coding RNA, 406 nt
Organism: Daphnia pulicaria
Lineage: Eukaryota; Metazoa; Arthropoda; Branchiopoda; Diplostraca; Daphniidae
Exons: 4
Source: RefSeq, a predicted model, not a curated record
UGCCUUGCAUUAAUCUGGGUUUAUCUAGUGAAAUUUGUUCAUUUUGACUUGUCAAGUUAUCUGAGAAGUAUGCACUACUAGAGCCAUGUGCAAACAUUUCUGCCUUAUUCUAUCAUGGCUUUUAAAUCAACACAAGAAGCAUUCUUGAUUUGUUUUACUGAUAAAUUCGUUUUCCUGAUUUGUUUCCCUGAUAAUUUUUUUAAGCACUCCCUGCCUAUUAAAAAAUUGUGAAGAAAGAUCUACAAGAAGAAAUACCUGAUACCUCUUUUCAUUGAACACCUCAUUCGAUAGUUCUGCCAGUGCUUAAAAAACCCUGCAAAAAGAAAUCAUGUUUGGAAAUUCUGUGGUCAUCUUUAAGAAAACAUGUGUGGUGAUGGCUAUAUUCCAUUUUUUCUGCUGCUGAAUC